RNAcentral lists this ribosomal RNA (497 nucleotides) under uncultured bacterium. RNAcentral describes it as "partial 16S ribosomal RNA". It matches the Rfam family "Bacterial small subunit ribosomal RNA", at positions 28 to 507 of the family's 1533-position model. The record is from RNAcentral.
GAUGAACGCUGGCGGCGUGCCUAAUACAUGCAAGUCGAGCGAACAGACGAGGAGCUUGCUCCGCUGACGUUAGCGGCGGACGGGUGAGUAACACGUGGAUAACCUACCUAUAAGACUGGGAUAACUUCGGGAAACCGGAGCUAAUACCGGAUAAUAUAUUGAACCGCAUGGUUCAAUAGUGAAAGACGGUUUUGCUGUAACUUAUAGAUGGAUCCGCGCCGCAUUAGCUAGUUGGUAAGGUAACGGCUUACCAAGGCAACGAUGCGUAGCCGACCUGAGAGGGUGAUCGGCCACACUGGAACUGAGACACGGUCCAGACUCCUACGGGAGGCAGCAGUAGGGAAUCUUCCGCAAUGGGCGAAAGCCUGACGGAGCAACGCCGCGUGAGUGAUGAAGGUCUUCGGAUCGUAAAACUCUGUUAUUAGGGAAGAACAAAUGUGUAAGUAACUAUGCACGUCUUGACGGUACCUAAUCAGAAAGCCACGGCUAACUACGUG